Molecule: small RNA, 1060 nt
Filed under: Pan troglodytes (chimpanzee)
Lineage: Eukaryota; Metazoa; Chordata; Mammalia; Primates; Hominidae
Description: processed transcript
Source: RNAcentral
CCCCACAGUGGCCUCAGGAGAGAACGUGACCCUGCUGUGUCAGUCAUGGUGGCAGUUUGACACUUUCCUUCUGACCAAAGAAGGGGCAGCCUAUCCCCCGCUGCAUCUGAGAUCAAAGUACCGAGCUCAUAAGUACCAGGCUGAAUUCCCCGUGAGUCCUGUGAUCUCAGCCCACACGGGGACCUACAGGUGCUACGGCUCACGCAGCUCCGACCCCUACCUGCUGUCUUUCCCCAGUGACCCCCUGGAACUCAUGGUCUCAGGACCCUCUGGAGGCUCCAGGCUCCCACCCACAGGGCCGCCCUCCACACCUGGUCUGGGAAGAUACCUGGAGGUUUUGAUUGGGGUCUCGGUGGCCUUCGUCCUGCUGCUCUUCCUCCUCCUCUUCCUCCUCCUCCGACGUCAGCGUCACAGCAAACACAGGACAUCUGGGCUGAGACUCUGUCCAUCUUCACCCAGACCAGAGAAAGACUGAUUUCCAGCGUCCUGCAGGGGCUGCGGAGACAGAGCCCAAGGACAGGGGCCUGCUGAGGAGGUAAUUCUGCCCAAAGACCACAGACUCCCACCCACUGCAGCCCAUACACUGCCCCUCACACUCCCAUGUCCUCCCCCAGGUCCGGCCCAGCUGCUGACGUCCAGGAAGAAAACCUCUAUGCUGCCGUGAAGGACACACAGUCUGAGGACCAGGUGGAGCUGGACAGUCAGAGCCCACACAAUGAAGACCCCCAGGCAGUGACGUAUGCCCCGGUGAAACACUCCAGACCUAGGAGAGAAAUGGCCUCUCCUCCCUCCCCACUGUCUGGGGAAUUCCUGGACACAAAGGACACACAGGCGGAAGAGGACAGGCAGAUGGACACUCAGGUGAGUCCUUUCCUCUCCAGACCCCCAGGCCUCCCCGACCCCCACCACGUUCCUUCCCUCUCACUCUCCCCCGCUGCAGGCUGCUGCAUCUGAAGCCCCCCAGGAUGUGACCUACGCCCAGCUGCACAGCUUGACCCUUAGACAGAAGGCAACUGAGCCUCCUCCAUCCCAGGAAGGGGAACCUCCAGCUGAGCCCAGC